ACGCUGGCGGCAGGCCUAACACAUGCAAGUCGAGCGGUAGCACGGGAGAGCUUGCUCUCUGGGUGACGAGCGGCGGACGGGUGAGUAAUGUCCGGGAAACUGCCUGAUGGAGGGGGAUAACUACUGGAAACGGUAGCUAAUACCGCAUGACCUCGCAAGAGCAAAGUGGGGGACCUUCGGGCCUCACGCCAUCGGAUGUGCCCAGAUGGGAUUAGCUAGUAGGUGGGGUAAUGGCUCACCUAGGCGACGAUCCCUAGCUGGUCUGAGAGGAUGACCAGCCACACUGGAACUGAGACACGGUCCAGACUCCUACGGGAGGCAGCAGUGGGGAAUAUUGCACAAUGGGCGCAAGCCUGAUGCAGCCAUGCCGCGUGUGUGAAGAAGGCCUUAGGGUUGUAAAGCACUUUCAGCGAGGAGGAAGGGUUCAGUGUUAAUAGCACUGAGCAUUGACGUUACUCGCAGAAGAAGCACCGGCUAACUCCGUGCCAGCAGCCGCGGUAAUACGGAGGGUGCAAGCGUUAAUCGGAAUUACUGGGCGUAAAGCGCACGCAGGCGGUUUGUUAAGUCAGAUGUGAAAUCCCCGAGCUUAACUUGGGAACUGCAUUUGAAACUGGCAAGCUAGAGUCUUGUAGAGGGGGGCAGAAUUCCAGGUGUAGCGGUGAAAUGCGUAGAGAUCUGGAGGAAUACCGGUGGCGAAGGCGGCCCCCUGGACAAAGACUGACGCUCAGGUGCGAAAGCGUGGGGAGCAAAC
Molecule: ribosomal RNA, 751 nt
Filed under: uncultured bacterium
Lineage: Bacteria
Description: bacterial SSU rRNA
Rfam family: Bacterial small subunit ribosomal RNA
Source: RNAcentral